GGCAGAUGAUGGCUUUUUCUCACAGUGGCCUGCGGAUGCAUCUGCAGGCACUGCCGAUAAUGCCAUGGGUCAGCUGAUGCCAGAGA
This 86-nucleotide small nucleolar RNA is filed under the name Dasypus novemcinctus (nine-banded armadillo). RNAcentral describes it as "Small nucleolar RNA SNORD35 (ENSDNOG00000029382.1)". It matches the Rfam family "Small nucleolar RNA SNORD35". Rfam says of the family: U35 is a C/D box snoRNA located in intron 6 of ribosomal protein L13A and intron 3 of ribosomal protein S11 in humans and at homologous positions in mouse and chicken ribosomal protein genes. U35 guides the methylation of 2'-O-ribose sites in 28S rRNA. The record is from RNAcentral. Lineage: Eukaryota; Metazoa; Chordata; Mammalia; Cingulata; Dasypodidae.